ACAGUUCGGUCCCUAUCUGCCGUGGGUGUAGGAUACUUGAGAGGAGUUGCCCCUAGUACGAGAGGACCGGGGUGAACGAUCCACUGGUGGACCUGUUGUGGCGCCAGCCGCAGUGCAGGGUAGCUAUGAUCGGAAAGGAUAACCGCUGAAGGCAUCUAAGCGGGAAGCCCCCCUCAAAACAAGGUAUCCCUGAGGGCCGUAGCAGACUACUACGUCGAUAGGCCGGAGAUGUAAGCGCAGCAAUGCGUUCAGUUGACCGGUACUAAUUGCCCGAUAGGCUUGAUUUGAUCCAG
Molecule: ribosomal RNA, 293 nt
Filed under: Maritimibacter sp.
Lineage: Bacteria; Pseudomonadati; Pseudomonadota; Alphaproteobacteria; Rhodobacterales; Roseobacteraceae
Description: partial 23S ribosomal RNA
Rfam family: Bacterial large subunit ribosomal RNA
Source: RNAcentral